This 2714-nucleotide small RNA is filed under the name Histoplasma capsulatum var. duboisii H88. Its description in RNAcentral is "Histoplasma capsulatum H88 hypothetical RNA". The record is from RNAcentral. Lineage: Eukaryota; Fungi; Ascomycota; Eurotiomycetes; Onygenales; Ajellomycetaceae.
CCUGUCAAUGGUCUGCGGUUCAAAAAUAAUCGUGCAAGCCAAGGCCAACGAACCACAAUAGGCAAACCAACAACACGGGGAGCCUUUCCGAGGGAGAUAUAAAGGGGCCAACAGUAACUCAAAUCAUUAACUUAACCACGACUACUCGGCCGCAUUGAUUCGCCGCCAGACUGGCUCAUAAAGCGCAUAAGCCAGUCACUUUCCGAUUCACUAUCGCUAUCACCAAGUUCGUCUAGCAUACGGUCAAUCGCAUCGCCUGCUUCAUGCUCCCGUAGGCCGCUAGGUCCAUUUCUUGGAUGCGCAUCGCUCGAACUGUUGCUCGUGUCAUCGGCAAAACUGACCUUGCGAGCGGGACGGAUCGCAUUCGGGGUGUUAUGGCGGAUCCCCAGACCCAAACGACCCUCGAUAGGGGAGGACUGUUGGGAUGAGGGUCUGGGUAAGGAAGGCGAAGGAAGAGUAAGAUGCAUGCCGCGAUACUCAUUCUGUUGCGUUUGCUGGGAGCUUGGAUGAUACCCUGAAUUUUCAGGGCUUGACAUGAACAGCAAAGUUUCAAUAGCAUCCUUUUCCAUAAGCGCAUUUUGGGAUGGCGUUCUUUGUUUCGGAACUGGCCUCGUGGUGGUGGUGGAAGCUGUGAUGGAAGAUGGAGUCGCGGAUUGGCGAGAUAAUUGGGGUUGCGAAUCCGGCGAUGUGUCGAGAAUGGCCACAGUCGAAGUAACCGUCUGGGUAGAUGAAACGGAAUAUCCCCCAUCUGCAAACGACUCAUUUCGAGGAUGGUAGUUCUGGUUCGCCGACGCGGUUUGUAAUAGGGUGUCAUUGGGAUUUGGUCGGCGACGCGUUGCAUUGCCGUUCCCAGAUACAAUAUCAGCGGGCGGAGCAAGGCGUGGUGGAUCAGAAUUUGCGAAGGCAACGGGGGGCGGAAUAUAUGUGCUAGCACGUCUAUUCGGUGAAGAGGAUUUGUUACGACGCGCAGAUGCGUUCGUUGGAGACACAGAUGAUGUCAUCUCUUUUCGGAGAUCGGAAUGGGCUUUUGAACCCUAAUGGCAGGGGAGACUGCGACGCGGAUGAACAGCCAAAUCGUGGAGGGACUGCAUGUGUUUCUUCUAGCUGGCGGAUUGGCCAAUCUUUUUCAACUUUCGCUGCCGCGUAAGAUAAACGAGCACGAAGUUGGGCGGAUAACUGGAGUAUCACCGAUUAGCACAAAAGAUACACGGGUCGGUAGGAGUAUUCUGCUGGUUGAGUAGAUAUUACCUCCGAAAUUCUGCUACUAUUUGAAUCGGUGCUCAUUGUCCCAGAUCGGCGAGUAGCCAUGACUGAUUCUGGACUUCGGAUAAAUAUUGGGGAUCCGGUUGAUUUCACCUCUCCACUAGCUGUCCUCUUUUGUCCUUGAGAAAUGUCGAUCGCCGUGUUUCCCCCCGGCUGACCAUCAAUCGGCGAAUUUACAACGGUAUAUUUGAGAAGGCCAGACGAGCGCAGUGAUCCGAUAUCUACGCUCCGCGAAUGCGCAUGGGUAUGCGAGGCUAUGGGGGUUUUCGCUGGAGAGCGGGAGAAUGGGAUUUGGGGAUAGUCGUGGUUUGAGAGUCCGGAUAACGGUGUGGAUGGAGUGGCAUUCGUGUCAAUCACAUCCGCAAAGGAGGAAUGUGAGAGAGUGCUGGAGGACGUGUGAAGGCGAGGAAGGAUAUCGUUGCUCAUAGCCGAUAGCGUUGAAGAUGUAUUGUUACUAUCGAUGGUAUUGAAAUUAGUAGAAUGGCCUGGCUCUGCCAUUUCCCUGUCGCCGCAGGAUGGGACGAUCGACUGAAAAUUACAAUCGCUGUUGUUAGGCAGGGGCCCGCCGUUGACGAGUCUCGAUGGUGAGGCCGGAGGUUGCGCAGGUGGCUGGUCCGAGUACAAGAACAAGGCUUGGCUUCCGAACAUGUCUUGGAGUAGUUCCCUGUGUUGGUGAUGGCCCACCCGGCUUGCGUGAGAAGGGCCAAAAGUAAUCGGUGGCCCCGGGAAUAUUGCGGGGGGUGCUGGUUGUUAUCGCAGAUAUUGCAGGUGGUGGUUUCUCGUUUGUUGUCUGCAGUCUGAUCGGCCGUCGCGUGGCUGGGGUUCAACAGCGAAAAAUUCGCUCCACUCCCACACAGCAACGUCACGCGAAAAGCAAACGGUCCGCUGCCUAACUAGAGGGCCUUAGGCCGGCAACGAUCUUUCUACCCUUGCUUGGGCUAUUUUGAGCCACGAUUAUGCGAUAAACUGGCGGUUUUGUAGCUCUCUGGCAGCCAGGUCGUGGAGGCUCCGAGAAUGAGCGUUAAUGGGUCGGUAAGCAGGCUGACCUCGUAGUAGCGUGUGCGGCGACAACCCGAGUGAGUCCGGCCAUGGUCCCAGCAAUGAUAUCGUCGUCGACAGUGGAUCGUGCUUUGCUCUCCAUGAGCCUGACACUCUGCCCCGCGACGUCUCUUCAAAAAGCAAGUCUGCCGAUCGUCUGGUGUCUCUGCAAAAAUGCAAACGACGAUGGAUGCGGUCUCGACUUGCCGGAUCGAGACGCGUCGCGGCGCGGUCAUGUGCGCGAACAGCACGUGAUAUAAUUGAAUGGGAGGGAUAAAGGAGAUAGGUAUACAAGAAAAAAGGAGAAAAAAAGGAGCAGGGAGAAAUGAUACGCUGAACUGCAUGUAUACAAGAGGCAUAUAUCUAAACCAAUUCCUAACAAUGCUGGUAUCUCAGCCGUUGAUUUUGUAGCA